This 253-nucleotide ribosomal RNA is filed under the name uncultured bacterium. Its description in RNAcentral is "partial 16S ribosomal RNA". It matches the Rfam family "Bacterial small subunit ribosomal RNA", at positions 524 to 776 of the family's 1533-position model. The record is from RNAcentral.
UACGAAGGGGGCUAGCGUUGUUCGGAUUUACUGGGCGUAAAGCGCACGUAGGCGGAUUGGUAAGUUAGGGGUGAAAUCCCGCAGCUCAACUGCGGAACUGCCUUUAAUACUGCCAAUCUAGAGACCGAGAGAGGUAAGUGGAACUCCUAGUGUAGAGGUGGAAUUCGUAGAUAUUAGGAAGAACACCAGUGGCGAAGGCGGCUUACUGGCUCGGAACUGACGCUGAGGUGCGAAAGCGUGGGGAGCAAACAGG